GUUAGUACUUCGGGGAUGACGUUAAACUGUGCAACUGUUGAUUAAUGCUGAACCUCUUGUGUGUGUGUCUCUGUGACCGUCUCCAGUGCCCUCACAGGAUGGGUGUGGGGUCCACUGCCAUUCACAGGAUGGGUGAGAGGGAGAGAGAUGUCAAAACUAAUUUGGACUAAAGUGAAGAAUGACUGAUGUUAAGGAGCCUGAUGCAUCUUUAUGACCUGCUCACACUACCCUCCAGUUCCUCUUCGGCGGCGGCUCACUGCUUCCGUAAAGCAGAAUGGAGUAGAGAGAUAUAGGC
This is a non-coding RNA of Procambarus clarkii (red swamp crayfish), 295 nucleotides long. Lineage: Eukaryota; Metazoa; Arthropoda; Malacostraca; Decapoda; Cambaridae. The record is from RefSeq and is a predicted model, not a curated record.